Molecule: long non-coding RNA, 538 nt
Organism: Cervus elaphus (red deer)
Lineage: Eukaryota; Metazoa; Chordata; Mammalia; Artiodactyla; Cervidae
Exons: 2
Source: RefSeq, a predicted model, not a curated record
AACCCUCCCACACUGUUGGUGGGAAUGUAAAUUGAUACAGACACAAUGGAGAAAGGGGACUGUUGCUCGCCAGACUCCGUCCAUGGAAUUCUCCAGGCAAGAAUACUGAAGUGGGUUGCCAUUUCCUUCUCCAGGGGAUCUUCCUGACCCAGGGAUUAAACCCAGGUCUCCUGCAUUGCAGGCAGGUUCAGAGCUACCAUAUGAUACAGCAGUCCCACUCCUGGGCAUAUAUCCAGAGGUGAUAGGUGAUGGAGAGAGAUAAACUGGGAGGUUAGGGUUGACAUGUACUCACUACUAUACUUAAAAUAGAUAACCAACAAGGACUUAUCCUGUGGCAUAGGAAAGUCUGCUCAAUAUUCUGUAAUAGCAUAAAUGGGAAAAGAAUUUGUAAAGAAAAUAGCUACAUGUAUGUGUGUAACUGAGUCACUUUGCUGCACACCUGAAACUAACACACUUUUUUCAUCAACCAUAUACUCCAGUACACAAUAGAAGUUUUUAAUUAAUUAAAAAUAAUAAAUAUUGAUCAUCUUCUCACGUG